GACAGAGGUGCCGAGCGUUAGGCGGAAUCACUGGGCUUAAAGCGUGUGUAGGCGGGUCGUUAAGUGUCUUGUGAAAUCCCACCGCUCAACGGUGGAACUGCUGGGCAUACUGGCGAUCUUGAGCCACCUAGGGGCAGACGGAACAAGCGGUGGAGCGGUGAAAUGCGUAGAUAUCUGGAGGAACACCGGUGGCGAAGGCGACGUCCUGGACCGGCAUUGACGCUGAGGCGCGAAAGCCAGGGGAGCAAACGGG
Molecule: ribosomal RNA, 253 nt
Filed under: uncultured bacterium
Lineage: Bacteria
Description: partial 16S ribosomal RNA
Rfam family: Bacterial small subunit ribosomal RNA
Source: RNAcentral